GUUGGUAAAUACUCUAUAUUGAUGCUGUCCAAGUAUCUGAAAAAAAGUAAAAUAUGAUGUUUUCAGAGCAGCACAUGCAAUAAUGGAAUAAACGAAAGCCAUGUACCAAAGAGGAAUUUUGUCAUGAAAACUACAGUGUAUAGAUAACCAAGUUUGUCUUUUUUUGUCACCUGUCUAAUUAUGUUUUAAGGCAACUUCAAUGUUAAGAUACAGACUAGACAAUUUUGUUUGUUCUUGAACUUUAUUUUCAUUCCAAUCAUUAAAUCGAAAGCACACUUUU
Xenia sp. Carnegie-2017 is the source of this 280-nucleotide long non-coding RNA. RefSeq lists it as uncharacterized. Lineage: Eukaryota; Metazoa; Cnidaria; Anthozoa; Malacalcyonacea; Xeniidae. The transcript has 2 exons. The record is from RefSeq and is a predicted model, not a curated record.